This 483-nucleotide ribosomal RNA is filed under the name uncultured bacterium. Its description in RNAcentral is "partial 16S ribosomal RNA". It matches the Rfam family "Bacterial small subunit ribosomal RNA", at positions 30 to 506 of the family's 1533-position model. The record is from RNAcentral.
AUUGAACGCUGGCGGCAGGCCUAACACAUGCAAGUCGAGCGGAUGAAGGGAGCUUGCUCCUGGAUUCAGCGGCGGACGGGUGAGUAAUGCCUAGGAAUCUGCCUGGUAGUGGGGGAUAACGUCCGGAAACGGGCGCUAAUACCGCAUACGUCCUGAGGGAGAAAGUGGGGGAUCUUCGGACCUCACGCUAUCAGAUGAGCCUAGGUCGGAUUAGCUAGUUGGUGGGGUAAAGGCCUACCAAGGCGACGAUCCGUAACUGGUCUGAGAGGAUGAUCAGUCACACUGGAACUGAGACACGGUACAGACUCCUACGGGAGGCAGCAGUGGGGAAUAUUGGACGAUGGGCGAAAGCCUGAUCCAGCCAUGCCGCGUGUGUGAAGAAGGUCUUCGGAUUGUAAAGCACUUUAAGUUGGGAGGAAGGGCAGUAAGUUAAAACCUUGCUGUUUUGACGUUACCAACAGAAUAAGCACCGGCUAACUUCGU